This 372-nucleotide ribosomal RNA is filed under the name uncultured organism. RNAcentral's name for it is "bacterial SSU rRNA". It matches the Rfam family "Bacterial small subunit ribosomal RNA", at positions 526 to 896 of the family's 1533-position model. The record is from RNAcentral.
CAGAGGUCCCAAGCGUUGUUCGGAUUUACUGGGCGUAAAGGGUGCGUAGGCGGUCGGGUAAGUCUGAUGUGAAAUCUCUGGGCUCAACCCAGAAAUGGCAUUGGAUACUAUUCGGCUAGAGAGUUGGAGGGGGGACUGGAAUACUUGGUGUAGCAGUGAAAUGCGUAGAUAUCAAGUGGAACACCAGUGGCGAAGGCGAGUCCCUGGACAACUUCUGACGCUGAGGCACGAAAGCUAGGGGAGCAAACAGGAUUAGAUACCCUGGUAGUCCUAGCUGUAAACGGUGCUUAUUUGCUGUAAAAGGAAUCGACCCCUUUUGUGGCGUAGCAAACGCGUUAAAUAAGCCGCCUGGGAAGUACGGUCGCAAGAUUA